Molecule: small nucleolar RNA, 79 nt
Organism: Frankliniella occidentalis (western flower thrips)
Lineage: Eukaryota; Metazoa; Arthropoda; Insecta; Thysanoptera; Thripidae
Source: RefSeq, a predicted model, not a curated record
AGUGUCUAUGAUGAAAAUUUUCACUGAUUUAUGAGUCCAUGUGAUUAUUACUUUAACAUGCACUACCAACUGAGACACG